CUGGAGGUAUCAGAAGUGCGAAUGCUGACAUAAGUAACGAUAAAGCGGGUGAAAAGCCCGCUCGCCGGAAGACCAAGGGUUCCUGUCCAACGUUAAUCGGGGCAGGGUGAGUCGACCCCUAAGGCGAGGCCGAAAGGCGUAGUCGAUGGGAAACAGGUUAAUAUUCCUGUACUUGGUGUUACUGCGAAGGGGGGACGGAGAAGGCUAUGUUGGCCGGGCGACGGUUGUCCCGGUUUAAGCGUGUAGGCUGGUUUUCCAGGCAAAUCCGGAAAAUCAAGGCUGAGGCGUGAUGACGAGGCACUACGGUGCUGAAGCAACAAAUGCCCUGCUUCCAGGAAAAGCCUCUAAGCAUCAGGUAACAUCAAAUCGUACCCCAAACCGACACAGGUGGUCAGGUAGAGAAUACCAAGGCGCUUGAGAGAACUCGGGUGAAGGAACUAGGCAAAAUGGUGCCGUAACUUCGGGAGAAGGCACGCUGAUAUGUAGGUGAAGUCCCUCGCGGAUGGAGCUGAAAUCAGUCGAAGA
RNAcentral lists this ribosomal RNA (525 nucleotides) under Escherichia coli. Its description in RNAcentral is "partial 23S ribosomal RNA". It matches the Rfam family "Bacterial large subunit ribosomal RNA", at positions 1273 to 1783 of the family's 2925-position model. The record is from RNAcentral. Lineage: Bacteria; Pseudomonadati; Pseudomonadota; Gammaproteobacteria; Enterobacterales; Enterobacteriaceae.